UAAUGAUUACUCUAGCGGUGGAUCACUCGGCUCGUG
Molecule: ribosomal RNA, 36 nt
Filed under: Gonatocerus cf. morrilli HHVO-2006
Lineage: Eukaryota; Metazoa; Arthropoda; Insecta; Hymenoptera; Mymaridae
Description: partial 5.8S ribosomal RNA
Source: RNAcentral